RNAcentral lists this ribosomal RNA (460 nucleotides) under uncultured bacterium. Its description in RNAcentral is "partial 16S ribosomal RNA". It matches the Rfam family "Bacterial small subunit ribosomal RNA", at positions 338 to 794 of the family's 1533-position model. The record is from RNAcentral.
CCUACGUGAGGCAGCAGUGAGGAAUAUUGGUCAAUGGGCGCGAGCCUGAACCAGCCAAGUCGCGUGAGGGAGGACGGCCCUACGGGUUGUAAACCUCUUUUGCCGGGGAGCAACGGGCGCCACGUGUGGCGUCACUGAGAGUACCCGGAGAAAAAGCAUCGGCUAACUCCGUGCCAGCAGCCGCGGUAAUACGGAGGAUGCGAGCGUUAUCCGGAUUUAUUGGGUUUAAAGGGUGCGUAGGUGGUUAAUUAAGUCAGCGGUGAAAGUUUGUGGCUCAACCAUAAAAUUGCCGUUGAAACUGGUUGACUUGAGUAUAUUUGAGGUAGGCGGAAUGCGUGGUGUAGCGGUGAAAUGCAUAGAUAUCACGCAGAACUCCGAUUGCGAAGGCAGCUUACUAAACUAUAACUGACACUGAAGCACGAAAGCGUGGGGAUCAAACAGGAUUAGAUACCCCGGUAGU